GCCAACUAAGUGUUUAUUCUGCACAUUGACUUUUCACGUCAAAAGAGCACAUUAAGUGCAUUUGGCU
Molecule: transfer RNA, 67 nt
Filed under: Pronodularia japanensis
Lineage: Eukaryota; Metazoa; Mollusca; Bivalvia; Unionida; Unionidae
Description: tRNA-Glu
Source: RNAcentral